GAGCCAGACAUGAUGUAGGCAGCCAGAGGAGUAAGAGGUCUGGACCCUUUUCUCCGGCGGCAACAUCUGCAAGGAGCAUUCCUGUGGCUGGCAAUGAUCUUCCUGUUUGCUGUGGCAAUUGUCAACCUGACUGUCACCUGGAAAAACAAGUUUUGUGUUCUACUAUGCUGGUUCCUGGUUAUCCAGAAGUCCACAGUCGUCCGGGUUCUAUGUGUGGAGGGAAGACCUUGCAGAAAGUGUUCUCUAUGCUCUCUGUAGCUCAGGAACAUACAGUUCAGUUUUGCUUUCCUGUCA
Mesocricetus auratus (golden hamster) is the source of this 294-nucleotide long non-coding RNA. RefSeq lists it as uncharacterized. The transcript has 2 exons. NCBI's taxonomy places the organism in Eukaryota, Metazoa, Chordata, Mammalia, Rodentia, Cricetidae. The record is from RefSeq and is a predicted model, not a curated record.